Molecule: small nucleolar RNA, 83 nt
Filed under: Tetraodon nigroviridis (spotted green pufferfish)
Lineage: Eukaryota; Metazoa; Chordata; Actinopteri; Tetraodontiformes; Tetraodontidae
Description: Small nucleolar RNA SNORD111 (ENSTNIG00000020501.1)
Source: RNAcentral
GUGCUGUAAAGCUGAUGAGUUUUCAUGUCUCUUCUCUGACUAAACAUCAAUGAAGAGGACUUUCACCACUCUGAUCUCAGCAU